CCUUGAGGUCCUCUCCCUCUCUACAAUUCUGGAGAGUCAUUGUCUCGAAAUCAUCUGGCAAAGCUCCUGUGUGAAUUCCCAUCUAUUUAGGAAUGGAUUGCUAGAAGAUUACUCUUUCUUUCCAUAUGCGGUCAACGCCAAUAAUGUCCUCCUGCUUUGGGGAAGAGAGCAUUGGAUUCAAGUCAGACAGACUGGAGCAAAGUAACUUCCAUUGCUUGACAGGAAGCAAAGAUUCCACAGUGGGCCUUAACAGCAACAGAAUGUCUUAGGUCACCACUAAAAGAAGAUGGCUUGGUUCCCUUCUGGAACAGUCCUUUCAAAAGAAGCAAAACAACCAGGAGGAUCCUACAGAGGAGCAUCUAGGAAGACUUUUUUUUAACACACCUUUGCUCCAGAAAUGCUUUAAGGUUCCUGAUUAAAAGAAUAUGGUCACCUGGAGUACCCUUGAAUACUUGCUUUGGACUAGAACUAGUCUCCAAAGUCCAUACAUUUAGGAUUCUAGAUUUAGAACUGGAAGCAAUGAGAAAGGUCACUGAGUUGAAGCCUCACAGUUUUAGAUGAAAGUGAGAUAAGUACAGCUAAGGGUCUGAAGUUAGAUUUGAACUUGGGUCUCCCUGACUCUAGUCAGUCACAAACCAUUUAUGAAGCAUCUCCUACAUGCCAGAAACUUUGCUAAGUGCAAGUGCCAGAUCAUCUGGUAUUUAAAGGUCUUACCAGCCUGGCCCUUGUGUACAAGGGAGAAGCAAAGAAAAAUUGAAUUUUGAAGAAAUGCCUCAGAAGAUGAGCAGAUGGAACCCCACCAGACCUGGGGCGAUGGGAUGGAAUUCCAACCAGGCUCAAAAGCAGCUGGAAGAAAAGACCAAGGUUCUUCUUGUCUUGGCUGGAGACUACCCAAAGCAUUCCCAGAAAGCAUCUGAACUUGUGUUUCCAGUUAAGAGAGAAAUCAGUAUUUCACUUGGAAAGAAAGCCUGGAGGAAUGGACCCACAAGAUGCUCAGAAGGCAGAGAAAUCCAGGGUGAAACCAGUGGGUGGCUGUCACAGCUGAUCGUGAAUGUUCAUCUUCAGCAGCUUUAAGAUUCCAGCUAGGAAGAGCAAUCACCUAAGUCACCAGCUUUCUCCUAAGCGAGAGAGGCAAGACCAGACCCAGCUGGCCUCAUUCCCAGACCUCUGCUCCGUCCAGCAAACCUCCUUUUACUCUCUGGUGAGAUGAUUAUGGCACAUAAUAAAGUGUAAAAUCCACUAACUUAGCUUUGUGUU
Molecule: long non-coding RNA, 1257 nt
Filed under: Monodelphis domestica (gray short-tailed opossum)
Lineage: Eukaryota; Metazoa; Chordata; Mammalia; Didelphimorphia; Didelphidae
Description: lncRNA (ENSMODG00000035867.2)
Source: RNAcentral